CAGGAGGUAACAGUUGAAAUGUGGAGGUGAUGGCUAAAAGAGCUUACAGGGAGAAGCAGCUAUUGGUAAAAUACAAAGGGAAUGAAGAGGUAAUUGAGAAUUAAAGGGAAAAUAUUCAUUUGCAAUAUACUAAAAUACUGUAGAAAAACUGGUCUGAUGGGUGAAUAUGAAAAUAAUAGGAGUAUAUCCGUUUCAUCCUCUGAGGAGAUCUUCACAUGCAAUGACCACAAAGAGAGCAUGGAAAAUGGAUCCCACAGACAUCAUACAAAAUGGGAAACAACAC
Pelobates cultripes (western spadefoot toad) is the source of this 283-nucleotide non-coding RNA. NCBI's taxonomy places the organism in Eukaryota, Metazoa, Chordata, Amphibia, Anura, Pelobatidae. The record is from the annotation of a GenBank genome assembly.